This 199-nucleotide microRNA precursor is filed under the name Zea mays. RNAcentral describes it as "MIR1435 microRNA precursor family". It matches the Rfam family "MIR1435 microRNA precursor family". The record is from Rfam by way of RNAcentral. Lineage: Eukaryota; Viridiplantae; Streptophyta; Magnoliopsida; Poales; Poaceae.
UAGUUUUGUGCUAAGUCAAAUUUCUCUAAUUUUGACCAAGUCUUUAGAAAAAUAUAUUAACAUCUAUAAACAAACUCAAAUAAAUGCACUAGCAAGACAUUAUGGAGAAUUUAAUUAAACUAAUUUGACAUCGUAGAUGUUGAUACAUUUUUCUAUAAACUUGGUCGAAGCUAGAUAGAUUGACUUAGAACAAAACUAG